ACAACCACAUCCAUAUAUAAUUCACCCAACACACACCUCAUACCAAAAUCAAAUCCACUCAUAAUAAUGGCAGCCCAGCUGGCUUUCUCUUCUUCUUUGAUCCCCACCAAAGUUUCUACCUUUCUCAACUCAUCAUCGUCUCUGCUUCUCACCCAGACCUCACCCAAGACCAGACUUCGCCAGUCCAGAACUCAAGCAAAAUUGGGAGGAGGAGAUGGAGGGAUUAAUCCCAAAGGGAGGAAGAAGUUCAUUACAAGAGAAGAAGAACCAGAACAGUAUUGGCAAACUGCAGGGGAAAGGGAAGGAGAGAACCCUAUGAAGACUCCUCUCCCUUAUAUCAUCAUUUUUGGUAUGUCAACACCUUUCGUGAUCUUGGCCAUUGCUUUUGCUAAUGGCUGGAUUAAAGUUCCUGUCCGGUGAAGGUGUCAAGGCAGGAACUGGAUUGAACACAUUUGAGUUUUGGUUUUCAGUUCAGUUAAUAAGAAAAGUUCUUCAGUUCAGCCAUCCGAACUCUCACAUGCGUAUACUUGUCAGACUUGCUUGAAGACAUAUCCAAAAUUCAAGUGACGAUAUCUAUAGCACAGGCUGCACAAUGGUCUUUCAUACCAACUCAUGAACAAAGGGCCAUCUUAACUAUACCUUUUCUUUUUGUUCAUUAUAAAGAUUAAAUCACAAUUCACAUAAAGCUCACGACCACCGCAAGCAAAAAUACCCAGAUCUAAGAUGAUUAGCAUUUGUACAAUGGACUAUGUUUCCUACACUAUUUUCUUUUCUUCUCUUUUCCUAUACCUACCAAUCUAGUAACCAUAACAGUUUCCUUUAAUAAUCUCAUGUAAAUGAGCUGCAAAGGAAUAUACAUUAACUCUUCACCCCCUAGAGGGCCUGUAUAGCACUACAGUCACAAACUUUCGGUGAAAGCGAGAUGUUGUCCCAAUUGCCUCAGGCUCCCCAUCACUAGAGUCUUGCUUGUAAAAAUGCUCCAACAUUGUGUGAUGAGGCCUUGGCAGUGUAAGAGGUUGGGCAACAUCAGACGGUGGUCCAUUUAGCAACACCGUAUCAAUUUGUGGAGGCACCUCAGGCGGAUGCUUAUCAAAAUCAAAUGCAUCAUCCAAGGAUAUGUUGUCAUAGCUGGAUAGUGGAGAAUCAGGAGUCUCGAACUCAGCCAGGGUUUCAGGGGCUUCCUGGACACAUUCCUGUGAUGCACAUUAUUUGUGAGUUCAGCUGUACUUGAUUAUUAAAAAAAUCUCUAAUGCUAAUCUGAUAAUAUUAUUCCAGCAAA
Non-coding RNA from Carica papaya (papaya), 1279 nucleotides. NCBI's taxonomy places the organism in Eukaryota, Viridiplantae, Streptophyta, Magnoliopsida, Brassicales, Caricaceae. The record is from RefSeq and is a predicted model, not a curated record.